This 72-nucleotide transfer RNA is filed under the name Flintiella sanguinaria. RNAcentral describes it as "tRNA-Gln". It matches the Rfam family "tRNA". From Rfam's summary of the family: Transfer RNA (tRNA) molecules are approximately 80 nucleotides in length. Their secondary structure includes four short double-helical elements and three loops (D, anti-codon, and T loops). Lineage: Eukaryota; Rhodophyta; Bangiophyceae; Porphyridiales; Porphyridiaceae. The record is from RNAcentral.
UGGGGUGUCGCCAAGUGGUACGGCAGCGGACUUUGACUCCGCUAUUCGUAGGUUCGAAUCCUUCCACCCCAG